RNAcentral lists this ribosomal RNA (414 nucleotides) under Bacillota bacterium. Its description in RNAcentral is "bacterial SSU rRNA". It matches the Rfam family "Bacterial small subunit ribosomal RNA", at positions 1 to 416 of the family's 1533-position model. The record is from RNAcentral. Lineage: Bacteria; Bacillati; Bacillota.
AAACAUGAGAGUUUGAUCCUGGCUCAGAAUGAACGCUGGCGGCGUGCCUAACACAUGCAAGUCGGAUGUGCCGCAAGGUGCAUGGCAGACGGGUGAGUAACGCGUGGGGAAUCUACCUUUUCGUGGGGAAUAACGUUCCGAAAGGAAUGGUAAUACCGCAUGAGACCACUGAUUGGGAUAUGAGUGGUGAAAGCCGGGGACCUUAGGGCCUGGCGCGAGAAGAGGAUCCUGCGUCUGAUUAGCUAGUUGGCGGGGUAAUGGCCCACCAAGGCAACGAUCAGUAGCCGGCCUGAGAGGGUGAUCGGCCACACUGGAACUGAGACACGGUCCAGACUCCUACGGGAGGCAGCAGUGGGGAAUUUUGCGCAAUGGACGAAAGUCUGACGCAGCAACGCCGCGUGGGUGAUGAAGGUC